This 230-nucleotide ribosomal RNA is filed under the name uncultured Lactobacillus sp. Its description in RNAcentral is "partial 16S ribosomal RNA". It matches the Rfam family "Bacterial small subunit ribosomal RNA", at positions 132 to 355 of the family's 1533-position model. Lineage: Bacteria; Bacillati; Bacillota; Bacilli; Lactobacillales; Lactobacillaceae. The record is from RNAcentral.
AAGAGAUCGGGAUAACACCUGGAAACAGAUGCUAAUACCGGAUAACAACAGAUGAUGCCUAUCAAUUGUUUAAAAGAUGGUUCUGCUAUCACUCUUGGAUGGACCUGCGGUGCAUUAGCUAGUUGGUAGGGUAACGGCCUACCAAGGCGAUGAUGCAUAGCCGAGUUGAGAGACUGAUCGGCCACAUUGGGACUGAGACACGGCCCAAACUCCUACGGGAGGCAGCAGCU